UCUUUCGAUGGUAGUGUAUUGGACUACCAUGGCUAUAACGGGUAACGGAGAAUUGGGGUUCGAUUCCGGAGAGGGAGCCUGAGAAACGGCUACCAUUUCUAAGGGAGGCAGCAGGCGCGUAAAUUACCCAAUCCUGACUCAGGGAGGUAGUUAAUAGAAAUAACGUGUCCGGCUCUAUGAGCUUUGGACCCUGUAAUGAAUUGAAUUUAGAUCGAUCCUUGAAACCUAUUAGAGGGCAAGUCUGGUGCCAGCAGCCGCGGUAAUUCCAGCUCUAAUAGCGUAUUCUAACGUUGUUGCAGUUAAAAGCUCGUAGUUGAAAUUCCGGCGUUUUUUCGCCUGUCGGGUAGAAUCUGGGAUACUGUCAAAAGUUUCUCUUGUUUGAGCCGACUUUUACUGUGAACAAAUUAAAGUGCUUAAAGCAGGCAAUCGCUUGAAUAUUUUAGCAUGGAAUAAUAAAAGAUGACUUUAUUCAUCUGGUGGUCGUUGGAUAGAGUAAUGGUUAACAGGAACAGUUGGGGGUAUUCGUAUUUAAUAGUCAGAGGUGAAAUUCUUAGAUUUAUUAAAGACGAACUAAUGCGAAAGCAUUUGCCAAGGAUGUUUUCAUUAAUCAAGAACGAAAGUUAGGGGAUCAAAGACGAUCAGAUACCGUCGUAGUCCUAACCAUAAACUAUACCGACUAGGGAUUGGCGAGGAAAACCCUCGUCAGCACCUAAUGAGAAAUCAAAGUCUUUGGGUUCUGGGGGGAGUAUGGUCGCAAGGCUGAAACUUAAAGGAAUUGACGGAAGGGCACUACCAGGAGUGGAGUCUGCGGCUUAAUUUGAUUCAACACGGGGAAACUUACCAGGGCAAGAGAUUGAUGGGAUUGACAGAUUGAUAGCUCUUUCUUGAUUCUUUUACUAGUGGUGCAUGGCCGUUCUUAGUUGGUGGAGUGAUUUGUCAGGUUAAUUCCCUUAACGAACGAGACCUUAACCUGCUAAAUAGGAGCUUCUAAAAUCUAGGAGUAUCCUUCUUAGAGGGACUACCGGUCUAAACCGGUGGAAGUUUGAGGCAAUAACAGGUCCGUGAUGCCCUAAGAUGUUCUGGGCCGCACGCGUACUACACUGAUGCAUGCAGUAAGUCAACCUAACCCGAAAGGGGCUGGGUAAUCUUUUCAAAGUGCAUCGUGCUUGGGAUAGACCUUUGCAAUUUUGGGUCUUGAACGAGGAACUCCUAGUAAGCAUGGGUCAUCAACCCAUGUUGAUUACGUCCCUGCCCUUUGUACACACCGCCCGCCGCUUCUACCGAUUCGAGUGGUUCGGCAAAUGCUCCGGACUGGCCUAGCCAGAAAGUUGUGUAAGCCAUAUCACUUAGAGGAAGAAUAAGGCGUAACAAGGUA
RNAcentral lists this ribosomal RNA (1375 nucleotides) under metagenome. RNAcentral describes it as "SSU rRNA". It matches the Rfam family "Eukaryotic small subunit ribosomal RNA", at positions 318 to 1801 of the family's 1831-position model. The record is from RNAcentral.